Long non-coding RNA from Peromyscus eremicus (cactus mouse), 1347 nucleotides. RefSeq lists it as uncharacterized. The record is from RefSeq and is a predicted model, not a curated record. The transcript has 4 exons. NCBI's taxonomy places the organism in Eukaryota, Metazoa, Chordata, Mammalia, Rodentia, Cricetidae.
ACAAUUACGAUGGACCUCGGCCUCUCCCUGCCUUGCUCUCCUACUCUGGCUUGGGGAAAAAUACAGUAGGAUUAUGGUAGCAGCUUCGGCUUCACUAUUUUUUCCAGUGUAAAUGAAGAGUCACAUGGUGGAAUACGAAGAUAGAAUCUGUUUUCAAACUUCAUGGAAAUCUGGUUUGGCAAAGCAGAAGCAUGGGUCCUUCGGAGAUGUCAGAAAGGAGAGAAGGUUAUCUAGUUGCAGCCCAGCCUCUCUGAGCUAGCAGGUUUUCACCCCAGCCUUUGAAUCUUGAGUCUUAUUUACAAGUAGAAUGAUAGAGCUAUAGCUAAAGCUACCUUUAGCCAAAGUGACAGAGCCAGUACUUGGGGGAACAGAACUCCCUCCAGGCUAUGGCCUGAGCAGCCAGGCCACUGCUAAAGAAACAGGCUGGUAACUGUUGCAAUUGCUGGCUGAAAUAUCCGUAAAUUAAGGCACAGCCACUGUACUGAAGUUAAAACAACAGCUUUGAUAAAGAGAAGAUGACAAAUUGUGAAGGACAAAUCAAAUUAUUAUUGACAUGCGACGCUCUGCGUGUUUCAUGAGGGAUGAAGCAAAUGGAACACGUUUCUGCUUCAAAAGCUCGUUUUGACCACAAUACAGAAAGUAAAGAACAGGGGCAGAAAAGAUACCACUCAGAAAGUGAUUACAAUCACAAAAUGAGACACUAGCGAGGACUGGCAGGCUGGGGUAUUUCUGACUGAGAACAUAACUAGACUGAUCCAACCUUCAAACGCAUAGCCUUCCUUGCUCUUCUGAAGGAACCGCACAGCCUGUCACUGAAGAACAGAUACUGACUCGCUGCCUUGAGUCAACUCGACUUCUCGUCAGUGAAGUAUAAAGGUUUUCUGUAACAUUUUUCUUGAGACUGUGAUUUUUCCAUCCACUGAAUAAUGACAACCUGUCUACACCUUAAGGAGGAUGCAAACCCAUGUAAGACUCUCCAACAAAUGUUUCUGCCACACUCAAGACAAAUACUCAUCUAUACCAGUAUGGCUUCUCUGAUGGACACUUAAAUGGUUUCUCACCUGUGUGAGUUCUUCGGUGCCUUAUGAGAUUUGUACUUCGACUGAAGCAUUUAUCACACUCACUACACAGAUAAGGUUUUUCCCCUGUAUGGCUUCGUUGGUGGACAAGCAGAUCAGAGCUCUGACCAAAGUUCUUGCCACAGAUGUCACAGGGAGAAUGUCUACAAUUUAUCACAAAGGUCAAGUUUGCAAGAGUGGACUGGCACCUACAUAUAAAUUUAUAAAUGAAAAUAUCAAAACUCACUGAAAAUGGCAUGCUAAUAAAUGUAAAUGCUCACCAAAUUCA